AGAGUGUGAUGUUCCCCUUCUUGUGUCCAUGUGAUCUCAUUGUUCAAUUCCCACCUAAGAGUGAGAAUAUGCGGUGUUUGGUUUUUUGUUCUUGCGAUAGUUUACUGAGAAUGAUGAUUUCCAAUUUCAUCCAUAUCGCUACAAAGGACAUGAACUCAUCAUUUUUUAUGGCUGCAUAGUAUUCCAUGGUGUAUAUGUGCCACAUUUUCUUAAUCCAGUCUAUCGCUGCUAUAAAGACACAUGCACACGUAUGUUUAUUGUGGCAUUAUUCACAAUAGCAAAGACUUGGAACCAACCCAAAUGUCCAACAAUGAGAGACUGGAUUAAGAAUUAUGUAUUCUGGAUACUGGACCCUUAUCAGAUGUAUUUGCAAAUGUUUCCCAUUGUGUAAGUUUUUACUUUCUUUGCAGUGUCCUUUGAUGUAAAAAUAGUUUAAACUUUUGAUGGAGACCAAUUUAUCUGUUUUUUCUUUGAUUGCUUAUGCUUUUAGUGUCAUACCUGAGAAUCCAUGAUCAAAUUCAAGGUCAUUGGGAUUUACCCCUAUGUUUUCUGAGUUUAUCUGAUGACACUUUUGUGGAAUAAAAGUGCUCCGAUGUGAGAAUAUAUACAGUCAUGUGCAGUGGGCUUAUGGAGUGCUUGCUCCAGAAGCAUGAAAUCACACUCAACUUAGCAUCUAACCAGGAGAUAGCCCCAUGACUGUGGUCAUUGACCAUAUCACAUAAUUCAUGAUCCAGGAUCAACCAGCCUGAUAGUGUUGGAAUAGCCUGCUAAAAGCACAUUUGAAGCACCAGCACAGAGGCAAUACCCAUGACAGUGGGGUGCCAUUUUCCUGAAUGCCACAUGCACAUUGAAUUUGAAUUUGAAACUUCUAUAGAGUAUUGUGUUCCCAAAAGGAAAAACUAAUCGGCCUGGGAAAAGAGAGAUGAAAACAGGAGUGGCCUCAUUUACCAUCACUCCCAGUGACUCACUAUGGAUUUUGUGCUUCCCAUCCUUACAGUUUGGGGUUCUGCUUGAUUACCAUUCUGAUCUCCAAAGGAGGCUUAUUCUUAUCUGGGGCAGAGCAAGGGUUUUAUUGAACUACAAGCUGUGGCUGCUGUUGAGGCAUUUUGGAGUCUUUAAGCACCAAGCGGGCAGGAAGGAGUUGCCCUUUUUGCAGGGGUAAUUUAUCCUGAUAAAAAGGUAUGUAGGGCUGUUAUUACACAAUAGAAAUAGGAAUAUGUAUGAAACUCAGGUGAUCCACAUGGGCACCUUUGUGGUAAUUCCUUGUCCAAUUAUGACUGUGGAUGGACAAGUGCAGUGACCCCCACCUGAAAAAGUUACUGUUGUCUUGGUUUCAGACCCUUCAAGAAUGAGUGUGUGGGUCACACCACCAGAUAAUUCACCCAGACCUGCAAAGGUAGGUGAUAGCUGCUAAGACAAUUCAGAAUGGAUGGUUGGAGAGAGAGAUGAAUACCAGUUGUGGCCCCAAGACCAACUGCAGUGAUGUGGCUGAGUUUGACCCACUAACCUUUCUUUUUUAAAAGUCUUACCCUCAGGAUGAGAGGCCCACUGAGGAGUAGCUCCCAGGAUAUGCAUGGAGAAGUGGAUUGAUUUGGUACAAGGGGUGAAAAGUGGCAGUUAUGAAGUGUGCUAUUUAGAUCUCCAAAAGAUAACCAUCCACAGGGAGUGCAGUUAUCUGACAGCACCAGUUGCAGAUACCCUCAGGAUCUUCCUUCAGUGUCCACACCAAUGAGCUGAGGCCAUUCAUUCUGGGCAGUCCACAGGCAAUGACUGCACAUGGUGUUGGUAUCAGGGCUCAUCGUUUCCAGCUAGUGUGAGACUCCUCCUCUAUGGGCAGUCUUGGUGUUGGAGCUCACUGCUAAAUUGGUUGAGACUUUCUCAGAAUGAGCACAGUCUGAGGCUCUUCCUACCUAAUCUUACUUCUCCUUUCAUGUGAGUCAAACCUAUAUCAGGGGCAGAAAUAUUUUUUUUCCUGCUUGUGCUCUCUCUCCUCUUUAUAUUUUAUAGGCAUUAUCUCCAACAAACAUCUCGUACUUUGAACUGCAUCUUGGCUUCUUCUUUCCAAAGGACCUCCUCUCCCAGACUUGCAUCAUCAUCACUGGUAGAUGAUAACUUAGGCUUGAAUAAAUUAAGUGGCUCACCUCAGGUCCCACAAAUGUUAAAUGGACUAUUUUUUCACAAUACUUAUUCUCAUACUGAAUAAUAUCCAUGAAAUCACGCAAUUGAUGUGCAAGUUAUAAUUCCCUAAUUCACAUUGAAAGUAUAACUAACUAUUAAAUUUAAAAUAAAAAACAAGACUAAGUCUGGUCAACUUAGUUAUCCCACACUGGAAAAGUACAUAAUAUCACAUUUUUUUUUUGUUGAGAAUUUGUUUGUUCUAUGAAAGCAUAUUUGGCCAAGAGUUAAUUUUUGAGAUUUAGUCAAUGUAGUCAUUCUGAAGAAAUGGAGUACCUAUCGUCUUACUGAGAAACCAAUUUCAAUGCUUAUGGCUGCCAGCCUGUGUUAGACACAUCCAUCAAAACAGCAAAGGAGAUAGUCCAGUUUUAUGCCCUCCAAGCCAAUAUUCUAUUCCUAUGGCCUCUAAAAUGGAGUAUGUGUACUUAAAGAAAUAUGCAAGAUAAUACACAGAGUGACAAAGGAAAUAUUUUAACUAUUUUGUGAACAUAAAAUUAAACUUUUACUAAUAGGUUGGUGCAAAAGGAAUUGCAGCUUUUGCCAUUACAUUCAAUAGCAAAAACCACAAUUACUUUUGAACCAACCAAAUACUUAAAAUAGGCGGACACCAGUUCAUAUAUUCCACAUGCAUAAACUAUGUAUGCUCAAAAAUGGAGACAACUGUUAAAACCUGCUGUCUAAAAUUAACAAAACACAAGCCUUCCAUUCUAGUGGAGAAGAGGACAAAUAUAAUAAAUUAAUGCUAUAUGCAUAUACACUAUACAUAAAGUAUGUCCUAAGAGCUAUGGAGAAAAAUGUAGAAAAGGAGAACAGGGAGUGCUAGUGUGAGAUUCAAGAUUAAAUGUGGUUCUGAGGUAGGACCUCACUGUAAAGGUGAUGACUAAGCAAAGACCCAAAGAGGGUGAGAAAGCCAGCUCUGUAGGUAACUUGAGAAAAAAGUGCUCCAGAGAGAGGAACUAGGAUUGUCCUUUUGCUAGGGGCACAGCCUAAUAAAAGUAUAACUAACGUCCUUUUUUGUUACAAAGCUGGACAUUCAAAACAUUAAACAUAUUAUAACCAAUUUUUGCCAGAGGUUGCAAGUGUUUUUUGUGAAAAAUCAGACCUUGGCGAUGACCUUGAGCAGUAGGAUAUAAAUAACUCCCACAAGCUUAAUGUUCCAAUAAUGGAACACUAGGCAUAGAUAGGUUAAAGAUCAUUGCUAUCCCCAUACUCUGGACCCCUGCCUGAUGAAUACAUUAAGCUGACACCUGAGACACUGAUUCACCAAUUAACAAACUUCAGGCAUGUUGUUAAUGAUAGAACCUUCAUGACAGUGAUCCAGAGUUCCAGAUUCUAGAGUAUUCAGAGGUGGAAAUUCAUAGUCCAUGCUCAAGAUCGAAUGGCAUCUCUCAGACUGGAAGACCUUUCUGAAGUCAGUUCCAGACAUCCCUGGAAGGCUGGAUAAUUUGGGAAAAGGCUGACUCAAUGUAAGCCCAACUUAUACAUGGCACUCCAAGGGGAUGCUUCAGCCAGAAAGUAAAGGGCUGAAAAAGUAGAACAAUACAAAAGCCCUCGUGUGGUGGGAACUGUGGCCUCACUCUUACUUGUCCUUCCAUUCAAAACAGUUUGGCACCUUUCCAUGACGAGGAUCUCUACAGGACUCUGCCUGAGAAAUUUUAUACAUUCCUCCAAAGGUAAGUAUUCUCCAAAGGUAAGUAUUUGACUAUUAACACAAAGGCAAUGUGAUUAUUGCAUAAUGACACUAAAUAUUAUGUGGCUUUUCUGUUAGGUUUAUAAGUUUUCAAUGAUCAGUUCAAGAAAAUGCAGAUCAUAUAUAACUAAGGUUUUACACCAGUGGUUGACAAACUAUGGCCCACAGGCUAAACCCAGCCUCCCCUUGUUUUUAUAAAUAAGUUUUAUUAGAACAUAACCACACUCAUUCAUUUCUGUAUUGUGUAUAGCUGCUUUCACGCUAUACUAGCAGAACUGAAUAGUUGUGACAGAGACUGUAUGGACCGUGAAGCAUAAAUAUUUACCAUCUGGCCCAUUCUAAAAAAAGUGUGCCAAUUCCUGGUUUACACUAAAAUAUAGAGUUUAGUGGGAAGCCUAUUUGAAAUGUGUUUUUUUUAGGGGCUGUAAUUACCAAUUAAAAUUAAGGUUCAGGUGACUCAGCAACCAAACAAAAGGGAUACUAAUUUUUUAUGAACAAUAUAUUUGUAUUUUAUGGACAUAAAAGGAAACUUUCAGAAAGAAAAGGAGGAAAAUAAAGGGGGAAAGGGAAAAAGGGGAGAGAUGUAAAAUAAAAGGCCAUUUCUUUAAUAUCAUAAUAAAAUUAACAUUCCAUCCAUGAAAUAAACCAGAACUUGAGCUUAGAGUCUCUCUCUACUAAACACAUUACUUUUGGAAUGUUUUUGCAUCUGGACAAAAUGGUAUCCAAAUUGAUCAGACAUAUAAAGUAGACAAGUGAAACUAACAUACGACUGCCAGUUUCUAAGGAGUGUUACGGUCG
Molecule: long non-coding RNA, 4663 nt
Filed under: Homo sapiens (human)
Lineage: Eukaryota; Metazoa; Chordata; Mammalia; Primates; Hominidae
Description: HSALNT0142616
Source: RNAcentral